This 558-nucleotide ribosomal RNA is filed under the name Amanita ponderosa f. valens. RNAcentral's name for it is "partial large subunit ribosomal RNA". It matches the Rfam family "Eukaryotic large subunit ribosomal RNA", at positions 65 to 622 of the family's 3401-position model. Lineage: Eukaryota; Fungi; Basidiomycota; Agaricomycetes; Agaricales; Amanitaceae. The record is from RNAcentral.
CUAACAAGGAUUCCCCUAGUAACUGCGAGUGAAGUGGGAAAAGCUCAAAUUUAAAAUCUGACAGUCUUUGACUGUCUGAGUUGUAACCUAGAGAAGUGCUACCUGUGCUGGACCAUGUAUAAGUCUCCUGGAAUGGAGUGUCAGAGAGGGUGAGAAUCCCGUCCUUGACAUGGACUGCCAGUGCAUUGUGGUGUGCUCUCAAAGAGUCGAGUUGUUUGGGAAUGCAGCUCUAAAUGGGUGGUAAAUUCCAUCUAAAGCUAAAUAUUGGCGAGAGACCGAUAGUGAACAAGUACCGUGAGGGAAAGAUGAAAAGAACUUUGGAAAGAGAGUUAAACAGUACGUGAAAUUGUUGAAAGGGAAACAUUUGAAGUCAGUUGUGUUAGCUGGGGAUCAACCUGGCUUUUCUGCUUGGGUGUAUUUCCUGGUUGACAGGCCAACAUCAGUUUUGACCAUUAGAAAAAGACCAAGGAAAUGUGGCACCUUUGGGUGUGUUAUAGUCCUUGGUUGUAUGUGAUGGUUAGGACUGAGGCAUGCAGCACACUACUAGGCUGGGCUUUG